Molecule: ribosomal RNA, 597 nt
Filed under: Adelie penguin guano bacterium 3aChit
Lineage: Bacteria
Description: bacterial SSU rRNA
Rfam family: Bacterial small subunit ribosomal RNA
Source: RNAcentral
GACCGGCGCACGGGUGCGUAACGCGUAUGCAAUCUACCUCUUACAAAGGGAUAGCCCAGAUAAAUUUGGAUUAAUACCUUAUAGUAUUACGACUUGCAUGUGUUAUGUCUGAAAAGAUUUAUCGGUAAAAGAUGAGCAUGCGUCCCAUUAGCUAGUUGGUAUGGUAACGGCAUACCAAGGCUACGAUGGGUAGGGGUCCUGAGAGGGAGAUCCCCCACACUGGUACUGAGACACGGACCAGACUCCUACGGGAGGCAGCAGUGAGGAAUAUUGGACAAUGGGCGCAAGCCUGAUCCAGCCAUGCCGCGUGCAGGAUGACGGUCCUAUGGAUUGUAAACUGCUUUUAUACAGGAAGAAACAACUCUACGUGUAGAGUCUUGACGGUACUGUAAGAAUAAGGAUCGGCUAACUCCGUGCCAGCAGCCGCGGUAAUACGGAGGAUCCAAGCGUUAUCCGGAAUCAUUGGGUUUAAAGGGUCCGUAGGCGGUUUAGUAAGUCAGUGGUGAAAGCCCAUCGCUCAACGGUGGAACGGCCAUUUGAUACUGCUAGACUUGAAUUAUUAGGAAGUUGAGAGUAUGUAGUAGUGUAGCGGUGAAA